RNAcentral lists this ribosomal RNA (523 nucleotides) under uncultured bacterium. RNAcentral describes it as "bacterial SSU rRNA". It matches the Rfam family "Bacterial small subunit ribosomal RNA", at positions 342 to 858 of the family's 1533-position model. The record is from RNAcentral.
CGGGAGGCAGCAGUGGGGAAUUUUGGACAAUGGGGGAAUCCGUGAUCCAGCCAUCCCGCGUGUGCGAUGAAGGCCUUCGGGUUGUAAAGCACUUUUGUCAGGAAAGAAAUCGCCCGGGAUAAUACCUCGGGUGGAUGACGGUACCUGAAGAAUAAGCACCGGCUAACUACGUGCCAGCAGCCGCGGUAAUACGUAGGGUGCAAGCGUUAAUCGGAAUUACUGGGCGUAAAGCGUGCGCAGGCGGUUCGGAAAGAAAGAUGUGAAAUCCCAGGGCUUAACCUUGGAACUGCAUUUUUAACUACCGGUCUAGAGUGUGUCAGAGGGGGGUGGAAUUCCGCGUGUAGCAGUGAAAUUCGUAGAUAUUCGGAGGAACACCGAUGGCGAAGGCAGCCCCCUGGGAUAACACUGACGCUCAUGCACGAAAGCGUGGGGAGCAAACAGGAUUAGAUACCCUGGUAGUCCACGCCCUAAACGAUGUCAACUAGCUGUUGGGGCCUUCGGGCCUCAGUAGCGCAGCUAACGC